CAGGGGAAUUACGUGCUGCUCGCGGAGAAUGAGUGGGUGCUGCGGCUGCGCCCCACCUACGCGCUGAGGGCGAAGUUGUGACUCCCGCGCGCCCCAGAGAUAAAACCUAUUUCCGCUGCAGCUUCCAGUAGGCCCCCUGCCACCGCUGAAAACUGCCUGAAGCGUACGCUCCCACCUGCUCCCCCCACCCCGCAGUCAUGCAAGACUCCCAGGGGGCAAGGUGCACCCCACUCCUGCAGACGUGUAGGCGGAUUCACCUUCGAAAGCGGGUGCAAGCUAGCUAUUGCAAUACGGUAAAAAUUCCAGCCAGGCCGGCUACUACCGCGGAGACACGUAAUCAUGCAGGACAAGUCUUCUUGCUCAUCAUCUUUUCCAAAGGACGCUGCCGAACCGUUUGAACAGUUUGCCCCAGGAAUUGAGCAACUCUCAGGGUGAUUUUAAGCAACGUUUACUCGUCCUCUGGAGUUUCAGUGUUGGGCAAGGGUUCUGUGGCCCGGUGGGCGGGGGUGCUCCGAACAGCACCCCGGACUCCUGCAGCCUCCCGGGGCCCACCUGCGAUCCGUGGUGCGGGAGAACAGGGUGGCGGAGCAGGUCGGUCUGGAGGUUUGUCCUGGGGCUGCCGUCCCCUCCCCGCCCCCUGAGCCUGCCCCUGCCCCACAAACAGCAAAUAAGGACCCUAGCAGAUUGAGUCAUCUGCCGGAAGGCCCACUCCCCCUAACCCCUGCCAGGUUUAGCCCGCCCCAGGAGAGUUCCGGGUAGAGCUAGUCCAGGAGUAGCUGCGAGGGGCGGGAGAGGCGGCACCCACCCCCCACCCCGCCCUCCAGCGUAGGGUCUGGGACCUAGGGAGGGUGGGGAGCCAGGGGAGCAAGCACUCGGCACGUACCGUCCUGCUCACCGGGGGGCUCUUCUUAGGGCAGCGACCUAUCAGGCUUCGCGGACAACGCCUGAAAUUCGCCAGCAAGAUGAGGAAAAGGAAACUGAAAGUCUAAGCCGACUAGCGGACGUGGUGCCUUCCAGCCCAGUCCCGCCUCCAUUUGCCUUUCUCACUCGACUUCUCUGGGCUUUCUUCUUAUGCUGAGAAAGUUUGAUGGCCUACCAUUCACUGUGUUAGGCCCAGAGGCCUCGACACCCCAUGAGGGAGCAGAAAGCUAGCUAAGGACAAAGCAGAAGCUGACACCCCACAACCCCCUCCCCCAGAUGGGAUAUGUGUGACAUUCCUCAGGCACUCCUGGCUGUCCUAAAGCUAGGGAAAGGAAAAACAAAUAGUUACCUUACAGAGAUCACAAUCCUGCAAGACUGGAGUCUCCCUCGGUUUACAAAGGUCUUAGCAAUUUGUAAGAAUAAAGCAUUACUAUCAAUAACCUAGCUUCCA
This 1372-nucleotide long non-coding RNA is filed under the name Ursus maritimus (polar bear). RNAcentral describes it as "lncRNA (ENSUMAG00000021561.1)". Lineage: Eukaryota; Metazoa; Chordata; Mammalia; Carnivora; Ursidae. The record is from RNAcentral.